UGAACUAAGAUGUAAGCUAAAAUUAUAGAACAUAAACUGAAGAUUAUUCAUCAAAAAAGAGAGAAACAAGCAACAGUCCCAGAGAGGCAAAUGAUGGAUCCAGUUCUGCUUCUCUACUGAAAUCUUUCAACAUGAUGGAUCGGCUUAUGGUCAUGCCAGGAGCCCCAACACUUCUCCACUGUUCUCUGCAGACCAGUGUGCUCUCACAGGAAAGAGCUACAUGACCACACAAAUCAUCGAACAUGACCCCCAUAUGAGCCAUUGAAAUCCCUUAGAGCAGAUGUGUUUUUUUCUUCCGGGGCUCAUCAGUCUAACAUGAUAAACUCUGCAAUAGGGAAAUUAGCACCUGUCAAGCUCAGGAGAAGAUGCAGGCUGCAUCAGAUGAACCAGCAGCGGGUGCAGCAUCACCUCCCUCAAUCCAGUUAACUUCACUCAAACCUACCAGAGCACCUUCAGCAUUAAAUUACACAGCUGUUGCUGGUCUCUGCUCAGCCUUCACCACCUCAUCUUAUUGCGGUGACAAAGUCCAGCCUAGACCGACACCUUUUACAAGCGGUCCCUCUGCUCCUCCUAGCUCCCACUGGAUCGGUUUGAGUCUGGUCCCUCCUUUGCCUCAGCCCAGCCUUUGUUUAAGUCCCAUUAUGCUGGUCCCCAUCAGCAGGCCAGCAGAAUUCUGGUCUGGCCCCUGCGCAUCUCCUCACCCCUCACCUUACCUCUUCAACUGGGAGGCUUCUCCAAGCUGGUGUUCUUGCCCACAGGCAGUGUCUUACCAUCAAAGCUGCAGUCCAGCUGUGGUUUUGAGAUCAGGAGGUGGCAAGCAGCCGAACAUGAAUGUACCACCAGUGUCAAAAAACAAGGGACAAGUCAAACUCAAGCUCUUCAGAGACAGAAAACUCUUCCAUCUCUGGAGGAGGAAUCUCUUCACAAUGAGACCUUCAACAACCACAUGAUG
Melanotaenia boesemani (Boeseman's rainbowfish) is the source of this 952-nucleotide long non-coding RNA. RefSeq lists it as uncharacterized. Lineage: Eukaryota; Metazoa; Chordata; Actinopteri; Atheriniformes; Melanotaeniidae. The record is from RefSeq and is a predicted model, not a curated record. The transcript has 4 exons.